RNAcentral lists this long non-coding RNA (1328 nucleotides) under Sus scrofa (pig). RNAcentral's name for it is "lncRNA (ENSSSCG00040032019.1)". Lineage: Eukaryota; Metazoa; Chordata; Mammalia; Artiodactyla; Suidae. The record is from RNAcentral.
UUUUUUUUUUUUUUAAGAUGGUAGGGACUUGAACUUGGGUGUCCACUACAAAAAGGUACCAGUAGAGAAGCUGAAUUUGAAAGUCGAGGAAAACAGGGAGAGAUGGAGUGAGACCCUGGAGGUGAUGAGGGCAGGUCGGGUCAAGGGCUCCUGUAGAACUGGGCCCUGACCUCCAUGGGCUGAGGGCGAGGAUGGGGGGGGUAAGGCUACAAGGUGCCAGCAGGCAAGCGGCUGAGGUAGUCGUGCCCAGGGAUCACCGCCUUUUCCGUCUUGAGCUGAGGAAGGGAAGGAGGGUUGGGUGAAGAACAAGGAAAACCUCACCAGAGAAGAAUCAUCCUGCCGUGAACUUGUUGCUGUUGCCUUUGCUCUUGUGAUCAGUGCAGCACCAUUUCCCUCUCUCGUUGGUAACCGCACAUCAGUUUUCCUUGAAGAGGGAAUUCCCUCCACGGCGCAGUGGGUUAAGGAUCCAACUGCAGGAGUUCCCGUCGUGGCGCAGUGGUUAACGAAUCCGACUAGGAACCAUGAGGUUGCAGGUUCGAUCCCUGGCCUUGCUCAGUGGGUUAACGAUCCGGCGUUGCGGUAAGCUGUGGUGUAGGUCGAAGACUCGGCUCAGAUCCUGCAUUGCUGUGGCUCUGGUGUAGGCCGGCAGCUACAGCUCCAAUUUGACCCCUAGCCUGGGAACCUCCACAUCCAUANGGAGCCAUAAAAUUAAAAAAAAAAAAAAAAAGAAGAAGAAGUUAAAGGGGACAGAGAAAUAAAACCAAUAGUAAGAAAGUUGUUCAGACGAUCAACCUUGGUGUUCAGUGUGCAUAAGAAAAAAAUGGCCUUUAGGGAAUGGGGGCGGGGCGAUAAUAUAGGGAUCAAACGCUGUUAUCAGUGAAAGCGCAGGAGGGUGAGAAUGGAGCGGGGGAGGAGGCAGAAGGGUAAGGGUGAGAGUCUGUGGUUGCCAGUGGGCCGCUGGAAUUUAAGGAACGCCUUCGUGGGCGGAGCAGUUGUGAAUGGGGCCGGGGUCUGCGUUUGGCCAGGCCGAUUGGGUGACUGAAAUGAGGACCCCAGCCGUGAGGACCCAGGAGGUCCGUCGACGGUGGCCACCUGGCGACGGUGGCCAGGUGGCCGUGAGAGUGCUGUGGCUCACUGGCCUGGCGCCGAAGGGGGAGGAGUUCCACCUGCACACAAAGAGGGAGAGGAAUGGCAUAGGUUGUGGGGAGCCGGUGCUGAGGGGCCUCCCGUGCCCGGGGGCAGCUGCAGGGACAGGCAGAGGCGCCCUGGGGCAGAGCCUGUCCCAGUCGAGGCUGAAGAUGGAGAGACAGAAGCGAACCAUGGAGCCU